AAUCGCAAAAUCCACCAUACAGUUGGUGAAAAUGCCACUACUGUAAAGAGGAUUUGGCAUUGCCAAUUAACAUCAACUUCUUAGGAGGCUGCAUUUCAGGUCAUCUUCGUUUACAGGUAGACAACGCCAAUUUCUCCUUAAAUAUGGCUUUGUCUUAUUCAUGCAGGGAAAAACAAGGGACUAGAGGUCUUACAGGUACAAUUAAUGUGCCCUUACAUCAACAAACUCAUCGUUAAUGGGCAUACAAGACAUGUAUGGAUCCCAGAAUAAUGAGGUUUAAUAAAAUUCUGUUUGCAGAUGGUGAAAACAAUUUAAAGUCACCAAUACAUUUUUAAGGUGUUCAACUUCUGCAGGAGACAAGUCUCACAUGUUACAGGCCUAAACAUUCCUCAAAGUUUCAAAUUGGCCUGGGAUUUGUGCUGUAAUUUUUAAAUAGAGUUGGUUUUCUGCUGUGUCCUUAUAUCACAUUCUUACAGAAGUUUAUAAAACCAUUUUAACAACCAAAUUCCAGUAGAAAUCUGGAAGAUGUAAAUUAAAAGCAUGAUCACCUUCAUGGAAAUAACAAGGAUAAGCACAUACAAAACAACUGGAAGAAAAGGGUGGGAAGCAAAUCUUGGGAAAAAAAUCAGGAGUGAACCUGAAUGUAAGCUGGGCUGCGUUGUUCACAGAUUAACUCCUGUACCCAGUUUAAAGAAGUAAUUCAUACCUUGUACUGCUUGUAUUCAAGAACAGCACUAUCCUAGAUCCAUUUUUAACUUUAACAUCGGCUUUUGUACUAUACUCACAUUGUACUCAUUACCUUAUUCCAUUACAGUGUGUUGUAAAACUGUAGGCGAUGUUGAGUGAGCUUUAUUAACUUUCAGAAGGAGCACUUCAGUACCAGAAAAUCAUUUAUAUUACUGUGAUUAUCAGCCAAUUGUACUAAUCCAGCAAUUAGAAAUACACGUACUAGAAAGGAGAAAUUACUCUCAGCUCAGACAUGAAUGUUGGUAUAAUUCCUUACUGUGCAGAGCCUCACUGAGGGUCCAAGCACCUGAACCACGAAGCACUCUCAACUCACAUUGAACUUAAUGAGAGUUAAGAGUACGCGGCACCGCACAGCAUCAGACUUGAAAUUUGUGUUUUGAAGACAUCAAGGUCAAGACACAGAAGCAGUAUCUUGAAGAAUAAGAAUGACAAGGCAACAGAUAUGUCAUAAAGAGGAAUGUUAAGGCGUGUGUCAUUUGUGUUUCAGAGCAAGAGCUCACACACCUAAUGCUGAUUAAUUCUGCUGGACUGGGUAACUGGCUCCCCUGUGGAUAUCCUGUUUUCCUGUGAAUCAUUGUUGCUCCUUGAGACAUCCUCCAACUCAGUUCAAAGAUCCAGAAUGUAUUAGAUAUGAAGACAUCAGACAGCUCAAACAGAUUAGAAAAGACACACACAAAGAAAUGCAUCCCAGCUUCUCCCUCCUGUCUGCUGAAAAUUGGCAUGGUGAACACAAUCCUAAGCACUUGUUAUAAAAGAAACAGUAGAAAGACAAAAAGAAGAAAAGAGGAGAGAGACUUUGAGUUUACCCAGAGUCUUCUACAAGUUAGCCUUUCUAAGUAUUUGCACUUUUGUACUUAGUUCUCCUUUGCAGUUGGAAACUUCAGACUAGAUCCUCAUCUGAUGGAAAAUGACAUCCCUAAGCUUUAGCAAGAGCUGCACCAACUGCAUCAGCGGAGGACUUGGUACUAUCCAUUUAAGUCUUGAGCCUUGCCUACAAACACACAAAUUAAAGGAACAUGAAAACACGUGGGUUUUUUUUCAAGUUUAUGCAGUCUGUUGUGUUCUUGAUGGUUUUAUUCAUUUUUCCGUUUAGCUAUAUGAACAACUGAAAAGAUUCUGCACC
This is a long non-coding RNA of Haliaeetus leucocephalus (bald eagle), 1870 nucleotides long. RefSeq lists it as uncharacterized. The transcript has 3 exons. Lineage: Eukaryota; Metazoa; Chordata; Aves; Accipitriformes; Accipitridae. The record is from RefSeq and is a predicted model, not a curated record.